Molecule: non-coding RNA, 94 nt
Organism: Megalops atlanticus (tarpon)
Lineage: Eukaryota; Metazoa; Chordata; Actinopteri; Elopiformes; Megalopidae
Source: the annotation of a GenBank genome assembly
GCUCCUGUGGUGCAAUUGCUUAGCAUGUGGUGUUUAUAUAACAAUACAAGGUGGAGUGAUGCUGAGGUUGUGAGUUCAAGCUUCACCUGGAGCC